ACGCACGCUGGCGGCGUGCUUCACCCCUGCAAGUCGCACGGAAAGGCCCCUUUUUGGGUCCUCGAGUGGCGACCGGGUGAGUAACACGUGCUUAACCUGCCCUUGACUUCGGGAUACCUUCAGGACACUGGGGCUAAUACCGGAUAGGAAUCCUUUCUGCAUGGUGGGGUUUGUAACGCUUCUGCGGGUUUGGAUUGACUCGCGGCUUAUCCGCUUGUUUGUGGGGUAGUGGCUUACCAAGGCUUUGACGGGUAUCCGGACUGAGAGGGCGACCGGCCACAUUGGGACCGAGAGAAGGCAGAGAUGGGGACGAGAGGAAGCAGGGGGGAAGAUUGCACAAGGGGCGGAAGCUGGAUGCAGAAAGGCCGCGGGCGGGAAGACGGCCUUCGGGUUGUAAAACGGUAGUAGCAGGAGAGAAGCCUGUGGUGACGGUACCUGCAGAAGAAGCACCGGCUAACUACGUG
RNAcentral lists this ribosomal RNA (464 nucleotides) under uncultured bacterium. RNAcentral describes it as "partial 16S ribosomal RNA". It matches the Rfam family "Bacterial small subunit ribosomal RNA", at positions 29 to 507 of the family's 1533-position model. The record is from RNAcentral.